GAUGAAGAACGUAGCGAAAUGCGAUACUUGGUGUGAAUUGCAGAAUCCCGUGAACCAUCGAGUCAUUGAACGCAAGUUGCGCCCGAAGCCAUUAGGCCGAGGGCACGCCUGCCUGGGCGUCACACGUCGUUGCCCCCCCAUCUACUCCUUCGGGAUUGCGGGGGGCGGAUGAUGGCCUCCCGUGCGCCUCGUCGCGCGGUUGGCAUAAAUGCCAAGUCCUCGGCGACGCACGCCACGACAAUCGGUGGUUGCGAAACCUCGGUUGCCCGUCGUGUGCGGUCGUCGCGCAUCGAGGGCUCGAAAAAAUUGCCGGGCUCCGGCUCGGCUUUCAACGCGACCCCAGGUCAGGCGGGGUUACCCGCUGAAUUUAAGCAUAUCAAUAAGCGGAGGA
This 391-nucleotide unclassified non-coding RNA is filed under the name soil metagenome. RNAcentral describes it as "partial contains 5.8S ribosomal RNA, internal transcribed spacer 2, and large subunit ribosomal RNA". The stretch from base 1 to 122 matches the Rfam family "5.8S ribosomal RNA", at positions 35 to 154 of the family's 154-position model. The record is from RNAcentral.